CGGGAGGCAGCAGUUAGGAAUCUUCCACAAUGCAUGAAAGUGUGAUGGAGCGACGCCGCGUGAUCGAAGAAGCCCUUCGGGGUGUAAAGAUCUUUUUUCAGGGACGAAUCCGUGACGGUACCUGAAGAAUAAGGGGUUGCUAACUCUGUGCCAGCAGCAGCGGUAAUACAGAGACCCCGAGCGUUAUCCGGAUUUAUUGGGCGUAAAGGGUCCGCAGGCGGCCAAAGAAGUCAUCUGUCAAAUCUCAGGGCUCAACCCUGAGACCGCGGAUGAAACUCUUUGGCUUGAGGCUGGGAGAGGCUAGCGGAAUUGCCGGUGUAGUAGUCAAAUGCGUUAAUAUCGGCAGGAACACCAAAUGCGAAGGCAGCUAGCUGGAACAAGCCUGACGCUCAGGGACGAAAGCGUGGCGAGCGAUACGGAUUAGAUACCCGGGUAGUCCACGCCCUAAAC
This 450-nucleotide ribosomal RNA is filed under the name uncultured bacterium. RNAcentral describes it as "bacterial SSU rRNA". It matches the Rfam family "Bacterial small subunit ribosomal RNA", at positions 342 to 807 of the family's 1533-position model. The record is from RNAcentral.